ACAUUGACCUCGAAUCAGGUGGGACUACCCGCUGAACUUAAGCAUAUCAAUAAGCGGAGGAAAAGAAACUAACAAGGAUUCCCCUAGUAACGGCGAGUGAAGCGGGAAAAGCUCAAAUUUAAAAUCUGGCAGUCUUUGAUUGUCCGAGUUGUAAUCUAGAGAAGCGUUUUCCGCGCUGGACUGUAUACAAGUUUCCUGGAUACGGAACAUCAUAGAGGGUGAGAAUCCCGUCCUUGAUACAGACUACCAGUGCUCUGUGAUGCGCUCUCGACGAGUCGAGUUGUUUGGGAUUGCAGCUCAAAAUGGGAGGUAAAUUCCUUCUAAGGCUAAAUAUUGGCGAGAGACCGAUAGCGAACAAGUACCGUGAGGGAAAGAUGAAAAGCACUUUGGAAAGAGAGUUAAACAGUACGUGAAAUUGUUAAAAGGGAAACGAUUGAAGUCAGUCGCGUCUACUUGGACUCAGCCUUGCCUCUUGGCUUGGUGCAUUUCCUUGUAGACGGGCCAGCGUCCAUGUCUUCUGCCGGAAAAGGGGUGAGGGAAUGUGGCUCUUCCGGGAGUGUUAUAGCCCUGGCUCGUAUACGGUGUGGGAUAUGGAGUGGUACAGCAUGCUUCGGCGGUGCUUGUGCUGGCAUAAUGGCUUUAAACGAC
RNAcentral lists this small RNA (648 nucleotides) under uncultured fungus. RNAcentral's name for it is "eukaryotic LSU rRNA". It matches the Rfam family "Eukaryotic large subunit ribosomal RNA", at positions 1 to 648 of the family's 3401-position model. Lineage: Eukaryota; Fungi. The record is from RNAcentral.